UCCAGACUCCUACGGGAGGCAGCAGUGGGGAAUAUUGGGCAAUGGGCGCAAGCCUGACCCAGCAACGCCGCGUGAAGGAAGAAGGCUUUCGGGUUGUAAACUUCUUUUGACAGGGAAGAGUAGAAGACGGUACCUGUCGAAUAAGCCACGGCGAACUACGUGCCAGCAGCCGCGGUAAUACGUAGGGAGCAAGCGUUAUCCGGAUUUAUUGGGUGUAAAGGGUGCGUAGACGGGAAAUUAAGUUAGUUGUGAAAUCCCUCGGCUCAACUGAGGAACUGCAACUAAAACUGAUUUUCUUGAGUGCAGGAGAGGUAAGUGGGAUUCCUAGUGUAGCGGUGAAAUGCGUAGAUAUUAGGAGGAACACCAGUGGCGAAGGCGACUUACUGGACUGUAACUGACGUUGAGGCACGAAAGUGUGGGGAGCAAACAGGAUUAGAUACCCCUGUA
This 447-nucleotide ribosomal RNA is filed under the name uncultured bacterium. RNAcentral describes it as "bacterial SSU rRNA". It matches the Rfam family "Bacterial small subunit ribosomal RNA", at positions 330 to 792 of the family's 1533-position model. The record is from RNAcentral.